This 122-nucleotide microRNA precursor is filed under the name Arabidopsis suecica. RNAcentral describes it as "MIR405". It matches the Rfam family "MIR405 microRNA precursor family". Lineage: Eukaryota; Viridiplantae; Streptophyta; Magnoliopsida; Brassicales; Brassicaceae. The record is from RNAcentral.
UUAACUCAUUUAACAACUCAACCCAUCAAAUUAAAUGAGUUAUGGGUUGACCCAACUCAUUUAACAAAAUGGGUUGGGUCAACCCAUAACUCAUUUAACCCUAAACUCAUUUGAUUAUGAGU